Non-coding RNA from Podarcis lilfordi (Lilford's wall lizard), 78 nucleotides. NCBI's taxonomy places the organism in Eukaryota, Metazoa, Chordata, Lepidosauria, Squamata, Lacertidae. The record is from the annotation of a GenBank genome assembly.
ACUUUCCAGCUCAAGCUCAGUCUGCAGAGCAUGAGACUCUUAAUCUCAGAGUUGUGGGUUCAAGACCCAUGUAGGGCA